This 732-nucleotide ribosomal RNA is filed under the name Bacillus sp. CC(2010). RNAcentral's name for it is "bacterial SSU rRNA". It matches the Rfam family "Bacterial small subunit ribosomal RNA", at positions 64 to 781 of the family's 1533-position model. The record is from RNAcentral. Lineage: Bacteria; Bacillati; Bacillota; Bacilli; Caryophanales; Bacillaceae.
GAGCGAAUGGAUUAAGACUUGCUCUUAAUAAUAACCGCCGAACGGGUGAGUAACACGUGGGUAACCUGCCCAUAAGACUGGGAUAACUCCGGGAAACCGGGCUAAUACCGAUAACAUUUUGAACUGCAUGGUUCGAAAUUGAAAGGCGGCUUCGCUGUCACUUAUGGAUGGACCCGCGUCGCAUUAGCUAGUUGGUGAGGUAACGGCUCACCAAGGCAACGAUGCGUAGCCGACCUGAGAGGGUGAUCGGCCACACUGGGACUGAGACACGGCCCAGACUCCUACGGGAGGCAGCAGUAGGGAAUCUUCCGCAAUGGACGAAAGUCUGACGGAGCAACGCCGCGUGAGUGAUGAAGGCUUUCGGGUCGUAAAACUCUGUUGUUAGGGAAGAACAAGUGCUAGUUGAAUAAGCUGGCACCUUGACGGUACCUAACCAGAAAGCCACGGCUAACUACGUGCCAGCAGCCGCGGUAAUACGUAGGUGGCAAGCGUUAUCCGGAAUUAUUGGGCGUAAAGCGCGCGCAGGUGGUUUCUUAAGUCUGAUGUGAAAGCCCACGGCUCAACCGUGGAGGGUCAUUGGAAACUGGGAGACUUGAGUGCAGAAGAGGAAAGUGGAAUUCCAUGUGUAGCGGUGAAAUGCGUAGAGAUAUGGAGGAACACCAGUGGCGAAGGCGACUUUCUGGUCUGUAACUGACACUGAGGCGCGAAAGCGUGGGGAGCAAACAGGAUUAG